CCUACGGGAGGCUGCAGUGGGGAAUAUUGGACAAUGGGGGCAACCCUGAUCCAGCCAUGCCGCGUGUGUGAAGAAGGCCCUCGGGUUGUAAAGCACUUUCAGUGAGGAAGAACGCCUGGUGGUUAAUACCCAUCAGGAAAGACAUCACUCACAGAAGAAGCACCGGCUAACUCCGUGCCAGCAGCCGCGGUAAUACGGAGGGUGCGAGCGUUAAUCGGAAUUACUGGGCGUAAAGCGCGCGUAGGUGGCUUGAUAAGCCGGUUGUGAAAGCCCCGGGCUCAACCUGGGAACGGCAUCCGGAACUGUCAAGCUAGAGUGCAGGAGAGGAAGGUAGAAUUCCCGGUGUAGCGGUGAAAUGCGUAGAGAUCGGGAGGAAUACCAGUGGCGAAGGCGGCCUUCUGGACUUACACUGACACUGAGGUGCGAAAGCGUGGGUAGCAAACAGGAUUAGAUACCCCAGUAGUC
Molecule: ribosomal RNA, 465 nt
Filed under: Vreelandella stevensii
Lineage: Bacteria; Pseudomonadati; Pseudomonadota; Gammaproteobacteria; Oceanospirillales; Halomonadaceae
Description: partial 16S ribosomal RNA
Rfam family: Bacterial small subunit ribosomal RNA
Source: RNAcentral